AACUUUUAACAAUGGAUCACUAGGCUCCUACAUCGAUGAAGAACGCAGCGAAUCGCGAAAUGUAUUGUGAAUUGCAGAAUUCAGUGAAUCAUCGAAUCUUUGAACGCACCUUGCGCCCUGCGGAACUCCGCAGGGCACGCCUGUUUGAGCAUCAUCAACCCCAACCCUCCACCGGUCUGCUCCGGCAGCCGGCGGGAUUUGGGCGGUGCGCAGUGCUAGUAUUACACUAACACAGCGCCCGUCUUGAAUGAUGUCUACAACGCGAGACACGAGUCGCAAGACUCGCCGCGACACACAGUCGCCGCACACCCGGUUACACAGUAGACCAUCGUCCUUACCGACGCGUGUUCCUUGUAUCCGAGUGCGCGCGCGCCGUGCCGCACCUCUAAUUGUGAUCUCAAAUCAGGCGAGACUACCCGCUGAACUUAAGCAUAUCAAUAAGCGGAGGCU
This 450-nucleotide unclassified non-coding RNA is filed under the name uncultured Basidiomycota. RNAcentral's name for it is "sequence contains ITS2". The stretch from base 1 to 154 matches the Rfam family "5.8S ribosomal RNA". Lineage: Eukaryota; Fungi; Basidiomycota. The record is from RNAcentral.